Molecule: long non-coding RNA, 4331 nt
Filed under: Homo sapiens (human)
Lineage: Eukaryota; Metazoa; Chordata; Mammalia; Primates; Hominidae
Description: HSALNT0335072
Source: RNAcentral
UUCCCAAACUGCCCCCGGGGAUAGAGUGGGGGAGUGCGGGGCGCUCCGAGGCGCGCUCCCACGCGCGCACACCCAGCCCCAGGCUUCCCCUUCCCUCUCUCCACUCCCCACGCCCUGCAGCGAAACGGCCCCAGAAGCCCCUCUCCGAGGCGCGAGUUCGGUUUGGUUCUGGCAGGGGCUUUGCAGCUGUCCGGAAGGUGAAGUCAGCCUUGUGUCCUGAGGAGAAACUGGAGAUGCAGGUCGCUGUGCCCUCCCGCUGCUACGUCGCUGCGCCGGAUCCUGCCAUCCUUCCGCAAGGGGUGAGAGCGGGAACAGCCCUGCCCUGCCUUCCAGGUAUUAUCUAGCCUGGAGGCUGGAGCGCAAGGUAACGCUCCGGGAAGUGGCACUCGGGUCCCCGCACACGGGCGAGUCCUCAGCAGUUCAGUGGACAGACCCGCAGGACGCGGCUGCCAAGUCCGCGAGGCAAGGACCAGGCAUCUUCCCGCGCCUCACUCCAGCCUGCGGACUGUGACUUUCCAUCCCAGUAUCAGACAAGCUCGCGAGUAACUGAACAUCCUUUCCAGUCCAUGGGUGGGGUGUGGAAAGGGCGUAAAACUCCAAAGUGGCUCCUCCGCGGUGAGCGAGCUGCCCCGGGGCUCUGCCUGACUGCAGCGCGAAGCCUGGGAGAACAAACCCAGUUCCCUCCGUCAAGAAAUUUCCAUUUAAGUCCGAGAAAGUCAUAUGAUUGAGAAGUUCAGCAGCGGCGGCGAGGACCCAGUGUCUGGGAAAGAACACCUGGAGGAUGGGGUGUCCAGGACGCCGGCUUUUCGGGGUUCCGACCCCACCCACCUUAUGUUGUAACAUACAAGCUUAGAGACCUGUUGCAAGGAACAACUGACUGGGUCUUCCACCACCCCUGGCACCCGGGUGGCCCAAAGCCUAUGCGCCCUUGGCGGAGAGAGAGGCCACGGUGCCACUGGCCGCAGCCUCUGGCCUUCAGAAACAGUGUAUUACAAAGAAAAGGCAGUUUAAAUCUCACAUUCAGCAUAGGGAAAACUGAAGGGUGCCAGGCUCGGGGACUUCUUCCAACAGAGUGGCUCUUCCCCAAAUAUGAAAGAAAAUCAUCAAAUUAAAUUGAAGGCAAAACUAAGCUUCCACCACAAAGACAUAGCAGAUAGUUGCAAGGUGGAUUCCUUCGGGCCUUUUCCUUUCCUAAGGCUAAAACAAUGCUAAGACAAAAGUCUUCUUGCAGCUGUCUCCGCCCCUCCGAGAUAAAUACUUUCCCAAUUCUCCCCCACCCUGUACACACACCCACGCCCGCGGCAGCUGAUUUCUGUCUUCUGCAAUAGCUCGAUUUAAAUGCUUUGCUUUUACUCUUUAUUAUCACUAUUAUUUGUGUGAAGCCCUCUCGCCUGCUCCUGGUCACCAGCAGGAGCCUGCUUCCCUCCCUCCUUCCCCCCAAGCCUCUGGGCAGCAGAAGCUAGCUGGGAGCUCUGUGCAGCUGGCGGCGACGCCAUGUGACUGUGAGCCGAGCACCAUCACCCAGAGUCACUCUCUAGCUUUCCCCUAAUACACUUCACACCCACGCACUGUGGAGGUGCGAGAGAGGUUGCUCCGUGCGGUGCUAUUCGAGGCAGAUGCAGAGAGCGCCCUGGAGUAAGCUCUCCAAUCCUAGAGCUGCGCGGGACCCUGACUGAAGGCGGAGGGGGCGGGAGGGGGUGCUGUUGCUAUAUUUAGACUCCCUAUGGAGUUUCUGUGCAGGGACUUUCAGGGUGAAAGAUCUAGAGACUUAAAAUGACUCGUGUGCCCGCUUUAAACGUCAAAAUCUUGGCCUUUCUGCAAGCAGUAAAAUGAAAACCACUUCCUCUUAACUUAGCUGUUUUCCUUGUUGCAGACUGCUACUUUCGCUGGGUAGGUAAAGUCACUUCCAUCUCUCUGGCGCGGCUGGGCCCCGCGUGCAGGCAAGAAGUCUCAGGAAGGCAGGACACAGGGACACGUUUCCCUGGAAGACAGCCAGCUGUUUAAUUUCUAAGUGAUGCUUUUCUGGGGAUGCAGCAUUAGUUCUAGUGAAACUGUAUUAUUGAUUAAGCAAAUGCCAUUUAAGCUUAAUUAAAAAAUAAAAAAGACCCGGUUACUGGUAGCCGUUUUGAGCUGCUGAGAAGGACCUUUCACUUAUGUCUUCUAGAGUAACCGCCAUUUGGAUACACAGCCCAGAAAAAGAGGGCCUGCUCAAGUUUUCGCGGGUAGUGUGAGAGUUACUAGGAAUCCAACAACCUGGCUUCCUAGUUCACUGUUCCUUCCACCAAUCAAUCUGCAUCUCCAGCAGAGAAUGGAUAAAAUAGCAAACAGUUCUGGGGUUUUGUAUCAAUCUCUGACUGCAACCAUUGGGAAAGACUGGCUUAGCUGAAGUUCUAACCUUCCUACCUUUCAAUGCCCAGAAAGAAAAAGCCAAAAAUUAAUCAGAGAACCCAGGACAACGUCAGAGAUCAUAUGAGCCUCACCAGACUGCAUGAGAGUCAUAACACAGUAGGAGUCCCAGGCCUACCUCACAUGGCAAAUGGGACAGUGUUCUUCAGAACAACCUCUGCCCCAGGGAUGCAGAAAGGAGGGUUUCACUAUGUUGGCCAGUCUGGUGUUGAACUCCUCACCUCAAAUGAUCUGCCCACCUUGGCCUCCCAAAGCGUUGGAGUUACAGACGUGAGCCACCGCGCCCAGCUGGAGAAGAUGUGAAAUUUUGAGAGCUGACCAUACUUUGAGAAUAAUAAGUAGUUGGAUUCUACUGAAGCCCAGUGGCUUUUGGAGGUGUAGCAAUAAGCAGGAGGCAGCAGAAGUAAGACAAGGGCUGUAUGACAAAGUCUUGGCAAGAACUUUGAAUUUUAUCCUGAUGUGAGUGGGGAGAGCCACUGAAGAACGUGAAGCCAGAAACACUACAUGUUACUACUUCUACUUUCAGAAAAGGCUUAAUAUGGAUUAUACACCUACAAGUGGCACACACUGUUCCAAGUGGAGACUCAAAGAUGAUAACGAUACAGUGUUUAUGCUAUAGGUUUGUGAAGCUACCAAUCCAUGGACAGAUGUUAAACCUAACUUCCAAUUUCAGGUACAAAUAUCUGAGUAAAUGAUGGUAUCAUUUACUCAAUCAGUAAAGGUCAAAGAGAAGGCAGUCUGAAGAAGGGAAAGGUGUUCAAUUUUGCAUUGAGUUUGACAUACCUGUUGAGACAGCUCAGUGGAGAUAUCCAGUUGAUGCUUGGAUAUAUGGACUUACAGCUCAGGGGGAGCUAGAAAUUGAAAUUUGAGAAUCAUCAACCUAUAUUUAUAAUGGGUGAAAUCAAUAAGUCGGAAUCAAAUUACCUGGGGAAGCAUGCAGAUUUGUUUAAAAAGGAAGAGGCCUGAGAACCCAACCCUGGUAAGCAUGACCAUUCAGGAUAAGAGAGAAGGAGCAAGUAGGGAAAGAGACUGAAAUAAAGAAACCUGAGUAACCACUGAGGACCACUGCUACAAUAGAGAAAAAGGAACUUCAUUAGGGAAAUGCCUGAAAGCGAAUAAGGUAAGGAUUUUGGAUUUAGCAACAAAGAGGUCAUUUGAAGAAGUUGUUUUUAUUUUUAUUUCCUUGCAGAAUUGUAGAAAUAGAAAUCAAAUCAGAGUGAGCAGAGAAACAAUUUGAAGAUAAGGGAAUGGAGAUAAUUAUUUUAAAGUGGGAGAAGCAAGCAGAAGAUUUAGGUUUGAAGAAGGCACUAUACAAAAUAAUGUUGAUUCACUUGAGACUUGAGUGGCUGUUACAGCCACUCUCACAGGUCCCGAGGCUGAGCCUGCACAGGUGUUUCGACAACUAAGCUGCAAUUUUGACAGACACUAUUUCACUGUCAAUUGUGCGGCCUGCAACAACUUGGACAUCUUUUAUUGAUUUUAUUGAGUACUUUAAUAACAUUUUAAUAAAAGCCAUUAUAUUUUAUUUCUAACAUUUCAAAAAAUUCUAUUUAAUAAGUAUGCAUUUUUCGUGUUUAGUUUUACCAAGAAGGAAAAUGCAUGCUAGAUAAACUACAUUUUUGUUUGAUUUUAUUUGUAAUCAAGGCUGAGGAACUGACCAGAUCAGAAAAAGAAAGUCAAUACCUGCUAAGUAUUCAACACAGUUUUCAACAGUGCUACUGAAAGCUACAGGAGAUACCAAGAGUCCCUCAGACAGGUCAGGGAUUGGCAAGAGUGGGGUCAUCAAGUUUCUGGAGUUUCAAUAAGAUAUUUGCUUUUUUCUUAUAUAUACAUAUUAGCUUUCUGCAUAAAAUUAUAUUAACAGAAACGCUAUUAAAGUUGUUUUUGAAAAACAACUGAACUACAGAAUGGUCCUGUUUGUUGGA